Molecule: ribosomal RNA, 489 nt
Filed under: Lacticaseibacillus casei
Lineage: Bacteria; Bacillati; Bacillota; Bacilli; Lactobacillales; Lactobacillaceae
Description: bacterial SSU rRNA
Rfam family: Bacterial small subunit ribosomal RNA
Source: RNAcentral
UGGGCGUAAGCGAGCGCAGGCGGUUUUUUAAGUCUGAUGUGAAAGCCCUCGGCUUAACCGAGGAAGCGCAUCGGAAACUGGGAAACUUGAGUGCAGAAGAGGACAGUGGAACUCCAUGUGUAGCGGUGAAAUGCGUAGAUAUAUGGAAGAACACCAGUGGCGAAGGCGGCUGUCUGGUCUGUAACUGACGCUGAGGCUCGAAAGCAUGGGUAGCGAACAGGAUUAGAUACCCUGGUAGUCCAUGCCGUAAACGAUGAAUGCUAGGUGUUGGAGGGUUUCCGCCCUUCAGUGCCGCAGCUAACGCAUUAAGCAUUCCGCCUGGGGAGUACGACCGCAAGGUUGAAACUCAAAGGAAUUGACGGGGGCCCGCACAAGCGGUGGAGCAUGUGGUUUAAUUCGAAGCAACGCGAAGAACCUUACCAGGUCUUGACAUCUUUUGAUCACCUGAGAGAUCAGGUUUCCCCUUCGGGGGCAAAAUGACAGGUGGUG